CCCUUAGAUGUUCGGGGCCGCACGCGCGCUACACUGAAGGGAUCAGCGUGUCUCACCUCGCCUGAGAAGGCCGGGUAACCCGUUGAACCUCCUUCGUGCUAGGGAUUGGGGCUUGUAAUUCUUGCCCAUGAACGAGGAAUUCCCAGUAAGCGCGAGUCAUCAGCUCGCGUUGAUUACGUCCCUGCCCUUUGUACACACCGCCCGUCGCUACUACCGAUUGGAUGGUUUAGUGAGAUCCUUGGAUCGGCCCUGUCGCGGCUGGCAACGGCCGCGUCGGCGCGUCGAGAAGACGAUCAAACUUGAUCAUUUAGAGGAAGUAAAAGUCGUAACA
Molecule: ribosomal RNA, 331 nt
Filed under: uncultured eukaryote
Lineage: Eukaryota
Description: partial 18S ribosomal RNA
Rfam family: Eukaryotic small subunit ribosomal RNA
Source: RNAcentral